GACGAACGCUGGCGGCGUGCCUAAUACAUGCAAGUCGAGCGAACAGACGAGGAGCUUGCUCCUCUGACGUUAGCGGCGGACGGGUGAGUAACACGUGGGUAACCUACCUAUAAGACUGGGACAACUUCGGGAAACCGGAGCUAAUACCGGAUAAUAUAUUGAACCGCAUGGUUCAAUAGUGAAAGACGGUUUUGCUGUCACUAAUAGAUGGAUCCGCUCCGCAUUAGCUAGUUGGUAAGGUAACGGCUUACAAAGGCAACGAUGCGUAGCCGACCUGAGAGGGUGAUCGGCCACACUGGAACUGAAACACGGCCAAGACUCCUAGGGGGGGCGCCGUUAGGGAAUCUUCCACAAGGCACGAAGUCCGGACGAGGCAACACCGCGGGAGUGAUGAAGUUCUUCGGAUCGUAAAACACUGUUAUUAAGGAAGAACAAAGGUGUAAGUAACUAUGCACGUCUUGACGGUACCUACUCAGAAAGCCACGGCUAACUACGUG
This 497-nucleotide ribosomal RNA is filed under the name uncultured bacterium. RNAcentral describes it as "partial 16S ribosomal RNA". It matches the Rfam family "Bacterial small subunit ribosomal RNA", at positions 28 to 507 of the family's 1533-position model. The record is from RNAcentral.